AUGCUCCGGCUAGCCGCGCCGCCGGCCAGUCGCCUCCCCCGCCGGCAUCUUCCACCGCCGUGCGUGCCAGGACGGGGCGGCGUCCGCGCUGGGAGGCGCGGGAGUAGGAGGGCUGGGGCUGUGUCGACGAGUGGGGGUGUGAGCUAUGCGGUGGUUGAGGAUGAGGAGGUGGAGGAGGGGGAGGAGAUGGCGAGGCCGCGGCUGGAGCUCAUCGAGAAGCCGGACCGGAGCCUGGCGCUGCUGGACGAGUACGAGUCGGAGGAGCUGGGGGCGGCGCUCUGCGCCAACCACCGCAGCGGUUAUGUUGCUGUGUUGGGGAAGCCGAAUGUCGGCAAGAGCACCCUGAUAAACCAAAUCGUCGGUCAGAAGCUUUCGAUCGUAACGGAUAAGCCACAAACCACACGUCACCGCAUUCUUGGUAUAUGUUCGGAACCAGAAUACCAGAUAAUACUUUAUGACACGCCAGGCAUCAUCAAGAAGGAAAUGCACAAGCUAGACUCGAUGAUGAUGAAGAAUGUCCAGAGCGCUAUCGGUAACGCGGACUGUGUGAUUGUCGUCGCUGAUGCUUCCAAAUUGCCCGAAAAGAUAGAUGAUAUGCUGGAAGCGGGCGUGGGAAACAAAGAUACCAAGGUCCCUGUUGUGUUGGUACUCAACAAGAAAGAUAUGAUAAAACCCGGAGAAAUCGCAAAGAAACUUGAGUGGUACCAAAAAUUCACUGAUGUUGACGAUGUUAUACCUAUAAGUGCUAAAUUUGGUCAUGGAGUGGUUGAUAUCAAGGAGUGGAUAUUGUCAAAGCUUCCACUGGGUCCUGCUUACUACCCCAAGGACAUAGCUAGUGAACACCCCGAGAGAUUUUUUGUGGGGGAGAUAGUGAGGGAAAAGAUUUUUCUUCAAUAUAGGCAGGAAAUUCCAUACGCAUGCCAGGUUAAUGUUACAAGUUACAAAAGCAGGCCUAGUGCCAAGGAUUUUAUUCAAGUUGAGAUACUUGUUGAGAGGGAAUCACAAAGAAGCAUUAUACUUGGGAAGGAUGGGAAAGCUAUAAAGACGUUGGCAACAGCAUCCAGGCUUGACAUCGAAGAUUUCCUUCAAAAGAAGGUUUAUCUUGAGAUAGAUGUGAAGGUGAAGGAAAACUGGCGGCAAGAUGAACGGCUUUUGAAACGUUACGGCUACGGUGGGGAGAUUCAAGCGCUAUAA
Molecule: ribosomal RNA, 1194 nt
Filed under: Triticum aestivum (bread wheat)
Lineage: Eukaryota; Viridiplantae; Streptophyta; Magnoliopsida; Poales; Poaceae
Description: partial small subunit ribosomal RNA
Source: RNAcentral